RNAcentral lists this long non-coding RNA (1789 nucleotides) under Equus asinus (donkey). RNAcentral describes it as "lncRNA (ENSEASG00005037421.1)". Lineage: Eukaryota; Metazoa; Chordata; Mammalia; Perissodactyla; Equidae. The record is from RNAcentral.
UUUAUAUUGUUCAAAAAUACAUAUAUACAUAUAUACAUGCAUUUUACAAUUCUACAGUGCUAUUUGUGAUGCUGUGAUUUUAUAAUCUCAGAAACAAGCUGCUGAGAUAUGGGUGGUGGUUAUCUGUAGUUUAUAGAGGAGGUAGUUGAAGCUGAGAGAGGUUAUGAUUCUGCCCAAAGAGAUAUAGUAGGUGGUUGAACUGAGGUUAGAAACUUGGUCUUUGAUGCCCGGUGUUUUGCUUUUUCUUACUCUACCAAUAUAUAUGUAUGUGUUCUGGUGGAUUUGGUGUGAUAGAACUGAAUGCCUCUAUUUCUUAUCAUAAACUUCUCCACAUGGGAAAAAACAAAACAAAAACAAAAAGUACUUGGAAGCAUGAAAAUAUUGAAAGGGUAUUUGGCAGGCACUCUUCUAUGAGGAAUUGCUUUUCAAAUUCAGUUUGUAGCUGCACAUUCCAGUUUAUGAAAACUGUAGAAAUAGGUUCUGCAGGGAAACGGAAUGUGGUUGGGAGCAUUAAUGAAGAGUUGAUUGUCAGAGUGGAGGCUUACUACCCAACAAAUGACAGCUUCUCCAACUUGUUAGCACAUGCAACUGGGGCGGUAGUUGAGAGAAAAACGAAACCCAACCAUGGGAAUUGAUCCUUGAUGAAGAUAACAUGCAGUAAAGAAAGGCUAUGAUAAUCAGGAAAGGAAAAUACAAGAUUAUACUAAGUUCAGAGAGCAUGUUGAAGCCUUGAUAUUAAUGAAAGCGUUUGGAAAGAAAGUUUUAUUUACAGAGAGAUUUUGAUAGGUUUUACCCGUAAUUGUUGCAAAUUUUGGAUCUUGAUCGUACCAGAUUUGCUUUAGUAUUAGCCUUUAAUUUCUUCUCCUGGUGGGAAAAUAUAAAAAUUUCCCUCUAGUUUCACUUAGUUAACAAACGGUAUGAAGAGAUCUAUUACGGUCAUAUCAAAUCAAAGAAUAUGUGAGAGGAAACUUUUGCAUAAAAGUACAAGAGAACAAAUACGUGUAUAGAGACUCUUCUAAUACUGACUGUCACAUUUCAUUUAAGCUACCUUUGAUGUUAUUAUCAAAGAUUACUUAUUAACUUGUAUACUCUAGAAAUUGAUUUGUUUUUAUUUUCACUGUCAUUUAUUGAAAUCAGCCUUUGGCGUGAGUGACAUUACAGAGGUGCCAUGGAAUAAUUCUGCAGCUAAAUUGAAUGAAAAUGUACGACUGUCAAUUCUAGUCUUGGCACCUUUUACACUUGGUUACCAUAUUCCAGUGAAACUAUAAUUUCUUUGUUUUCCAUUUUUAUUUUGUCUCUCUUUAAGGCACGUUGAUAGGCGUUUAGAAGGUAGAAAGAUGAACAAGAUUCAGCUCCUGUCCUUAAGGAUCUCACCAGUUGUUACGCUCUACAAGCUGUAAAAACACCUUCCAGAGUCACGUAGGGGAGAGAGAUCAUCCGCUGAAGACUCCAGAGGGGAACUGAGUCAAAUUCUCCCACGUUCACAUCACCUGGAGGACGUUUCCUUUCCCCCAGCCUCUGAUUAAUGAGACCAGACUGGUUCCUUCUGAUUAAGUAAACUAGACUUCAUUGUUCUGCUUUAUCUAUAUCACCACUGACGAAUAAAUUCUGUACUAGUUUGGAUCCAAUUCUGCAGUUUUUGUUCCAGGAUUAUCUUUUGUUUAGAUGCUGAUCGUAUAUGUUUGUUUUUCUAAAACAAUGAUUAAAAUUUAUCUUGUUAUUUAUCAGCCUACUCAGUCACUUAGUAAGUAAGAGGGGGAUGUGUAACAUUAAAAUUCCUCUAUCAUCC